AGUCGAUUUUCAAAGUUAACGUCAUUUAUACAUAUAUGAUAUACGAAAUAAGAAUUUAAUAUCUACUUACCAAAGGAGGUUAUGUAUAAUAGAGAUGCUUGAAAUUUUACACAGUAGAAUUCUUUCAUAAAUGUAAACUUCCUUCAAAUCCGCGUAGUGGCAUUUAGGGUAUAGCGAAUAUUUGACUCGACUAAAUUAGAGAUUGUACAACACAGCACAAAUUUCAUUUAGGCGGAUAGCAACGAAAUUUUCAUCCAUACCUAUCGCACUAGCACGAAACCAUUCGACGAGGCUUUCAUUUCCCCCCUCGCCAUUCCACAACACCUAGUUCUGUUUCGUGUUUAUCUAAUUGUGCUAUUGUACACACCUACCUACCGUGCUGACUAGCGUAGUGUCGAGCGACUUCUGAACUGCGUUUUACAUUACUUCCGGCGCUAGUGGCGUGCGUAACGACUAAAGCUGUUUGGAAACAUUCGCGUCGCGUAAGGCGUAAGAAACGAAUAUGAAUUUUCUGUAUCGAGUUAUGAUUUGUACAAUGUUAUAGUGUCUAUUUUAAGUUUCAGAAUCAACUAAAGCGUAUUUUUAUUGCAGAAACAAAUAAAUAAAUAUGUGUUCGCCAGAAUCAUAUCAGAUUACACAUCCAUUGUAACCAUAACGUCGAAUCAAAGCGAAAUUCCGUGUUAGGACUUUAUUUUUACGAUAACCACAGUUCAGAUAAAUUAAGAGUGAUAUCAGCUCUAACACCUGGAAACGAGACGAAACAGGAGGCAAGUAGCGAGAAGUAAUUUCCCGAAACAUUCGCGGAACACUCGAUCGUUCGGUGCGUCAGGUAAGCGCGCAUUAGCAUAAUCGAGCGUAGGGAAUAGCGGACGAGCAUUAUUACGCGAGCUCCUCUUUAUUUCGGUAUACGGUGGACAAAUGCGACUAACGUA
Molecule: long non-coding RNA, 932 nt
Organism: Bombus terrestris (buff-tailed bumblebee)
Lineage: Eukaryota; Metazoa; Arthropoda; Insecta; Hymenoptera; Apidae
Exons: 3
Source: RefSeq, a predicted model, not a curated record